AAACAAUUAAAUAUAAUACAUGCAAUUCACAGACUUACGUUUCUUCCCGGGAAGAAAUCUCACAAAAGUGUCACAAGUAAAAGCCGAAAGUUCCCCCAGGCACUUUUAUCAACUUGACGUUUAAAUGCCCAAAAUAAUUUAUUUGAAAUAUUUUGCACAGAUGACACUAAAAAAACCCCGGCUUCACUAAAAACAGAGCUCUUGCGACGUUGACGGUUGCUGCCGGACUGAGUGGUGACUUGGAGAGCUUGAGGCUUGAGGAAAACAGCUAAGGUAAAGGUGUAUUGGAGGUAACGUACUAACGUGUCUCCCCUCCUACCUUGGCUCUUUCUCUAUCUUAUCCAUUAACUGGUGCCUCUAUUUUAAACCUCUCGUUUCCACCUGCAAACAAUAUACAGACGGAUGUAUUACAUGCAUCUACCUGUGUAGCAGCACAUUCCCGAACAAGUCUCUCGUACAGUGCUGUGCUCGGAUAUCCUUUUAGAUGGUUGUUUACUUGCUAGCAGACAAAGCUUAGGAUGCCAGCCGGUGAGUCAUAGGUCACAGGAGGGAAGAAACAAAAGAUUUAAAAAAAAACUUGGGAACUUAAAACUUACGGUUCAGCUAAAGAUUAUUAUUAUUAUUUUAAUGGAAAUAAAAACCAACAAGGAAAAGGUUCGGGUUUAAAUGCUCAACUUUGAGGUCUUCAGGUCAGGAAGUUUUAAAUAAACAGUCUCUUUUCAUUAAGAUUUUUUUUUCUUUGAGUACUUACGUUGCAUUGCCGACAAUUGCGCUAGAAGUAAUAUUGAAAUUAUGGUUGCGGGUCAAGCAAUGAAGCGAAUCCUUUGGGGUUUUAUAAUUCUACAAGGAAUAAAUAUGCGUGCCAGAGUCCACAUACGGAAAUCAGGGUCGCGUGACCGUAGACCCUGACCGCUGGGAGCCAAUGUCAUGUGAUUCUCGUGACUGGAUGCACUGGAGUUGUCCUUCGUGAUGGUAUAUGUAUACAAAUGUUGUCGAGAAUUAUCUGAGGAUAAUUUGCAAACUAAGUCUAAGUGAAAAAUUAAAUAUUAUAUUUUGGGAGAAAUUUAACGCUUGAAUAAAUUUUUUUUUAGUCCUGUGGAAACAGAUAGUAAGGACAACAAGUUUCGCUAAAUCAUUAGAACUCGUAAUAAAAAUACUGGUUUCAUUUUUAUUGAUACAAGUAUUUUUUUGGUUU
Cotesia glomerata is the source of this 1195-nucleotide long non-coding RNA. RefSeq lists it as uncharacterized. The transcript is spliced from 4 exons. NCBI's taxonomy places the organism in Eukaryota, Metazoa, Arthropoda, Insecta, Hymenoptera, Braconidae. The record is from RefSeq and is a predicted model, not a curated record.